UGGGGAAUAUUGCACAAUGGGCGCAAGCCUGAUGCAGCCAUGCCGCGUGUAUGAAGAAGGCCUUCGGGUUGUAAAGUACUUUCAGUCGGGAGGAAGGUGGUAAGGUUAAUAACCUUAUCAAUUGACGUUACUGACAGAAGAAGCACCGGCUAACUCCGUGCCAGCAGCCGCGGUAAUACGGAGGGUGCAAGCGUUAAUCGGAAUUACUGGGCGUAAAGCGCACGCAGGCGGUUGAUUGAGUCAGAUGUGAAAUCCCCGGGCUUAACCCGGGAAUUGCAUCUGAUACUGGUCAGCUAGAGUCGUGUAGAGGGGGGUAGAAUUCCAUGUGUAGCGGUGAAAUGCGUAGAGAUGUGGAGGAAUACCGGUGGCGAAGGCGGCCCCCUGGGCAAAGACUGACGCUCAGGUGCGAAAGCGUGGGGAGCAAACAGG
This 429-nucleotide ribosomal RNA is filed under the name Chloroflexota bacterium. RNAcentral's name for it is "Chloroflexi bacterium partial 16S ribosomal RNA". It matches the Rfam family "Bacterial small subunit ribosomal RNA", at positions 355 to 776 of the family's 1533-position model. The record is from RNAcentral. Lineage: Bacteria; Bacillati; Chloroflexota.